Molecule: long non-coding RNA, 1172 nt
Filed under: Papio anubis (olive baboon)
Lineage: Eukaryota; Metazoa; Chordata; Mammalia; Primates; Cercopithecidae
Description: lncRNA (ENSPANG00000046024.1)
Source: RNAcentral
GUUUCAUUCCUGAAGUCAGUGAGACUGGGAAGCCACCAGAAAGAAGAAACUCCAGACAGACAGACUGACUUUAAGAACUGUAACACUCACUGCAAGGGUUUGCAGCUUCAUUCUUCAAGUAAGUGAGACCAGGGACCCACAAAUACUGGACACCAUGUACUUGGGAGACUGAGGCAGGAGAAUGGCGUCAACCUGGGAGGUGGAGCUCGUGAUGAGCAGAGUUUGCGCCACUGGACUCCAGUCUGGGUGACAGAGACUCCAUCACAAAAAAUAAAAAGUGGAUGGGAAAAAUAUGGUAACUUUGCCAGGCACAGUGGCUCAUACCUGUAAUCCCAGGACUUUGGGAGGCUGAGGUGGGUGGAUCACUUGAGAUCAUAAGUUCAAGACCAGCCUGACCAACAUGGUAAAACCCUAUCUCUACUAGAAAACGAAAAUUAGCCAGGCAUGGUCGCAUGUGUCUGUAAUAGCAGGUACUUGAGAGACUGAGGAAGAAGAAUCUCUUGAACCCAGGAGACAGAUUGCAGUAAGAAGAAAUUAUACCACUGCACUUAAGGCUGGGCAGCAAGAGUGAGACUCUCAAAAAAAAAAAAAAAAAACACACAACAAUUUAAGGACCUACCUUUGCUACUUAAGAGGAAGAAGGAAAAGACAAAGGAAGUGGAGACGUAUACUUUGUAUCCAUGUGAGGCUUUGGAGAGCUCAGUCUGCAAGUUCUGUUGCGACAUUCGUGUUUCCUGUUUGUCUCCAAAAACUUUCAAAUUCCUGGAUGUGAAGAUACAAUUUUUAACUUCUAGCAGUUUAGGUAUACAUUUUGUUUUGAGUAAUACCAAUAAUACCAAUACUUUACAUUUUCAUUUUCUGGUAAUGGUAAGUUGGAUGAGAGGGAAAUAGCAUCCUAAAUUAGGGUUGAGCAGGGAAACGCAGGUUUGCUUCUGUGCAUGCAAUAUAUUUCUCUCCUACAAUUUCAUGUACAGUGGAGCUUUUGGGUUGAUUGUAGGUGAACAAUAACAUCUAGCAUUAGAAGAAAGAAUUUUAAUGAUGGUGAACUUUAAAAAAAAAAAAAAAAGCAUUAUUUCUGACUUAAAAAGUUGAUCCCUUGACUCUAUAACUAUUCUUUGUUUGAAACCCCUUACAGUUGGCUUCUCUGGGUACUUGCGAAGGUUUUAACCAGA